GGUAGUCCACGCCGUAAACGAUGGAUACUAGCUGUUGGAGGUAUCGACCCCUUCAGUAGCGAAGCUAACGCGUUAAGUAUCCCGCCUGUGGAGUACGGCCGCAAGGCUAAAACAUAAAGGAAUUGACGGGGACCCGCACAAGCGGUGGAUUAUGUUCUUUAAUUCGAUGCUAAACGAAGAACCUUACCAGGGUUUGACAUCCCAAGAAUUUUGUCGAAAGACGAGAGUGCUUUAUUGAACUUGGUGACAGAUGAUGCAUGGCCGUCGUCAGCUCGUGUCGUGAGAUGUUUGGUUAAG
This 297-nucleotide ribosomal RNA is filed under the name uncultured bacterium. RNAcentral describes it as "partial 16S ribosomal RNA". It matches the Rfam family "Bacterial small subunit ribosomal RNA", at positions 789 to 1084 of the family's 1533-position model. The record is from RNAcentral.